Molecule: transfer RNA, 76 nt
Filed under: Thermotogota bacterium ADurb.Bin062
Lineage: Bacteria; Thermotogati; Thermotogota
Also listed under: 2 other names
Description: Thermotogae bacterium ADurb.Bin062 tRNA-Gln
Rfam family: tRNA
About the family: Transfer RNA (tRNA) molecules are approximately 80 nucleotides in length. Their secondary structure includes four short double-helical elements and three loops (D, anti-codon, and T loops).
Source: RNAcentral
UGGGACGUCGCCAAGCUGGUAAGGCAUCGGAAUUUGGCUCCGACAUUCGGGAGUUCGAAUCUCUCCGUCCCAGCCA